RNAcentral lists this ribosomal RNA (450 nucleotides) under uncultured Glomeromycotina. RNAcentral's name for it is "SSU rRNA". It matches the Rfam family "Eukaryotic small subunit ribosomal RNA", at positions 569 to 1024 of the family's 1831-position model. Lineage: Eukaryota; Fungi; Glomeromycota. The record is from RNAcentral.
AGCAGCCGCGGUAAUUCCAGCUCCAAUAGCGUAUAUUAAAGUUGUUGCAGUUAAAAAGCUCGUAGUUGAAUUUCGGGAUCAGUACGCCGGUCGUGCCUUCGGUAUGCACUGGUGUCACUGGUUUCUCCCUUCUGAAGAACCAUCAUGCCAUUCAGUUGGUGUGGCGGGGAAUCAGGACUGUUACUUUGAAAAAUUAGAGUGUUUAAAGCAGGCUCGCGCUUGAAUACAUUAGCAUGGAAUAAUGAAAUAGGACGUUUGACCCUAUUUUGUUGGUUUCUAGGAUCGACGUAAUGAUUAAUAGGGAUAGUUGGGGGCAUUAGUAUUCAAUUGUCAGAGGUGAAAUUCUUGGAUUUAUUGAAGGCUAACUACUGCGAAAGCAUUUGCCAAGGAUGUUUUCAUUAAUCAAGGACGAAAGUUAGGGGAUCGAGGACGAUCAGAUACCGUCGUAGU